RNAcentral lists this transfer RNA (72 nucleotides) under Parabacteroides sp. An277. It matches the Rfam family "tRNA". From Rfam's summary of the family: Transfer RNA (tRNA) molecules are approximately 80 nucleotides in length. Their secondary structure includes four short double-helical elements and three loops (D, anti-codon, and T loops). RNAcentral also lists the same sequence under 1 other name. Lineage: Bacteria; Pseudomonadati; Bacteroidota; Bacteroidia; Bacteroidales; Tannerellaceae. The record is from Rfam by way of RNAcentral.
GCCCUUGUAGUUCAACGGAUAGAACGAUGGUUUCCUAAACCGUAAAUUUGGGUUCGAUUCCCAACGGGGGUA